Molecule: ribosomal RNA, 2865 nt
Filed under: Antarctobacter albus
Lineage: Bacteria; Pseudomonadati; Pseudomonadota; Alphaproteobacteria; Rhodobacterales; Roseobacteraceae
Description: Mameliella alba 23S ribosomal RNA
Rfam family: Bacterial large subunit ribosomal RNA
Source: RNAcentral
GAUCAAAUCAAGCGCGAGAAGGGCGUUUGGUGGAUGCCUUGGCAGCAAGAGGCGAUGAAGGACGUGAUACUCUGCGAUAAGCUAGGGGGAGCCGAGAAUAGGCUUUGAUCCCUGGAUCUCCGAAUGGGGCAACCCACCUGAUAUUCAGUUAUUAUCAGCCGUCAGGUUUUUGAUAAUUGGGUAAACCAGGUACUUCUUACCUGAAUACAUAGGGUUUGAAGAGCAAACCCGGGGAACUGAAACAUCUAAGUACCCGGAGGAAAGGAAAUCAAUGAUACUCCCCUAGUAGCGGCGAGCGAACGGGGACCAGCCGAGCCUUGAGAGUGAUCGGAACAUGCUGGAAAGCAUGGCCAUAGCGGGUGACAGCCCCGUACGAGAAGCUCGAUGGGACGUAUUAAGUAGGGCGGGACACGUGAAAUCCUGUCUGAAGAUCGGAGGACCACCUUCGAAGGCUAAGUACUCCUUGCUGACCGAUAGCGAACCAGUACCGUGAGGGAAAGGUGAAAAGCACCCCGACGAGGGGAGUGAAACAGUACCUGAAACCGAACGCCUACAAUCAGUCGGAGCUUGACUUUGUGACGGCGUACCUUUUGUAUAAUGGGUCAUCGACUUGGUCUAUCUAGCAAGCUUAAGCCGAUAGGUGUAGGCGCAGCGAAAGCGAGUCUUAAUAGGGCGUCGAGUUAGAUGGAUCAGACCCGAAACCGAGUGAUCUAGGCAUGACCAGGAUGAAGGUAAGGUAACACUUACUGGAGGUCCGAACCCACACCUGUUGAAAAAGGUCGGGAUGAGUUGUGCCUAGGGGUGAAAGGCCAAUCAAACUCGGAGAUAGCUGGUUCUCCGCGAAAUCUAUUUAGGUAGAGCGUCAUCCGAAUACCCCGGGGGGUAGAGCACUGGAUGGGUAAUGGGGCCCCACAGGCUUACUGAUCCUAACCAAACUCCGAAUACCCGGGAGUACUAGAUGGCAGACACACUGCGGAUGCUAACGUCCGUAGUGGAGAGGGAAACAACCCUGACCUACAGCUAAGGCCCCCAAUUCAUGGCUAAGUGGGAAAGCAGGUGGGACGACCAAAACAACCAGGAGGUUGGCUUAGAAGCAGCCAUCCUUUAAAGAUAGCGUAACAGCUCACUGGUCUAAACAAGUUGUCCUGCGGCGAAGAUGUAACGGGGCUCAAGCCAUGAGCCGAAGCUUAGGAUGCCGUAAGGCAUGGUAGCGGAGCGUAGUGUGAUAUAGGACUUAUCCUUUACUGCCGCCGGUCGUACGGAGCGUGGAAACGCGCUCAAGUAGCCGAUAGGCGGUAGCGCAGGAGAAAGUCUUUUCUGUGAAGCCGGCCUGUGAGGGAUCCGGUGGAGAGAUCACUAGCGAGAAUGAUGACAUGAGUAGCGACAAAGAGUGUGAGAGACACUCUCGCCGAAAGUCCAAGGGUUCCUGCUUAAAGCUAAUCUGAGCAGGGUAAGCCGACCCCUAAGGCGAGGCCGAAAGGCGUAGUCGAUGGGAACCAGGUUAAUAUUCCUGGGCCAGGAGGAUGUGACGGAUUGUGGCGGCGUGCGUGCCUUAUCGGAUUGGCGCGUAUCCAAGACAGUCCCAGGAAAUAGCCCUCCAUGAGAUCGUACCCUAAACCGACACAGGUGGACUGGUAGAGAAUACCAAGGCGCUUGAGAGAACGAUGUUGAAGGAACUCGGCAAAAUACCUCCGUAAGUUCGCGAGAAGGAGGCCCGGUACACGACUACCGGGGGCACAAACCAGGGGGUGGCGACUGUUUAUUAAAAACACAGGGCUCUGCGAAGUCGCAAGACGACGUAUAGGGUCUGACGCCUGCCCGGUGCCUGAAGGUUAAAAGGAGGGGUGCAAGCUCCGAAUUGAAGCCCAGGUAAACGGCGGCCGUAACUAUAACGGUCCUAAGGUAGCGAAAUUCCUUGUCGGGUAAGUUCCGACCUGCACGAAUGGCGUAACGACUUCCCCGCUGUCUCCAACAUCGACUCAGCGAAAUUGAAUUGCCUGUCAAGAUGCAGGCUUCCCGCGGUUAGACGGAAAGACCCCGUGCACCUUCACUACAGCUUCGCACUGGCAUCAGGCACAACAUGUGCAGGAUAGGUGGUAGGCUUUGAAGCAGGGACGCCAGUCCCUGUGGAGCCUCCCUUGAGAUACCACCCUUGUUCUGCUUGAUGUCUAACCGCGGCCCGUUAUCCGGGUCCGGGACCCUGCGUGGUGGGUAGUUUGACUGGGGCGGUCGCCUCCUAAAGCGUAACGGAGGCGCGCGAAGGUUGGCUCAGAGCGGUCGGAAAUCGCUCGUUGAGUGCAAUGGCAGAAGCCAGCCUGACUGCAAGACUGACAAGUCGAGCAGAGUCGAAAGACGGCCAUAGUGAUCCGGUGGUCCCAAGUGGGAGGGCCAUCGCUCAACGGAUAAAAGGUACGCCGGGGAUAACAGGCUGAUACUGCCCAAGAGUCCAUAUCGACGGCAGUGUUUGGCACCUCGAUGUCGGCUCAUCUCAUCCUGGGGCUGGAGCAGGUCCCAAGGGUAUGGCUGUUCGCCAUUUAAAGAGGUACGUGAGCUGGGUUUAGAACGUCGUGAGACAGUUCGGUCCCUAUCUGCCGUGGGUGUAGGAUACUUGAGAGGAGUUGCCCCUAGUACGAGAGGACCGGGGUGAACGAUCCACUGGUGGACCUGUUGUUGCGCCAGCAGCAGUGCAGGGUAGCUAUGAUCGGACAGGAUAACCGCUGAAGGCAUCUAAGCGGGAAGCCCCCCUCAAAACAAGGUAUCCCUGAGGACCGUGGAAGACCACCACGUCGAUAGGCCGGAGAUGUAAGCACAGUAAUGUGUUCAGUUGACCGGUACUAAUGGUCCGAUAGGCUUGAUUUGAUCCAG